CACUAUUGUCCUGUAUAUUUUAUAAAAAAAAACCUCUACCACUAACAUCCACUUCUACGCUUGAAGGCGAGAGACAUUAAAUCUAGAAUAGAUGGACAUGAUUUAAUAUAUGCACCAAAGUGCCAUGUACACCGGACCCAAGAAGAAUAGGAUGAACAAUGUUUGCGACAAGUCUAAUACCUACAAGAGAUACAAAGAAUAAGAGGAACAAUGUUUUAAUGCUACAGAUCUGUAAUACUUAACUAGAAAAGCGCUCAUAAGGAUCGAAAGACCCAAGGGAUUGUUCUAAAUUGGGCUUCUAAUAUUGACUUAAUUAAAAACUACUUCACGCCGACUAGGCUUGGCGUUCCAGUGUGGGUGGGUGUCAAACCAAGGCUGGCAUAUUUUUUUUGCCAUGAAGGCUAGAUGAGAGCAUUCGGCAAUUGCAGCCACCGGGCAGGAAUGAGUGAGAUCUAGGAGCGAUGUAGAGAUAUUUAAUUUGCCAAGUUCCAUUUCUCCACGAGAACCAACUGCACGGAAAUGGAAGCAUGCAUUUUGGUCUUGGCUUUCUGGCUGGGACAGGCAGCAUCAUGUAUUCAUGUAUUCCCACGGUCCUUGAAUUCAGGUCAACUCCUGAGCCUAUCCCUCUGGCGAGUGUUUCUAGUGAACAUUGAUAGACAACAAAUCAGUAUUAACAAAGAUGGUAAAACUGAAGCAGUGUAGUAAACAACAUAAAAGUACUACUGUCUAGAAUCGUAAAUGGUUAGAUUUGAAAGACGCCCGAUAACAUUUUAGAUAAAGAUGCUGGUUAAUUAGCUUUUCCCGGUUACAUAUCGGUAGGGCUUUUUAUGUGCAAACGACGCCUAAGAUGUACUCAUGCAGUUGAUACAAUUAAGUCUCUGCAUCAGGUUCAGCAUGUCACUCAAUGUGUCACUACUUUUCGCAGAACAACAUACACACAUAAGAGUAUUUUUCGAAGGUCUUAGAUGUAUCUACCUUGAAUCUCGAAACCAAGGUGGUUGCAUUGGAAACAAGGGUGUUUGGUUUGAGGAACAACCCGUUCAUCCCACAAAUUUUGUUCCUCAUGUUUGUACUCAUGAUUAUUACCUUGUGAGAGAUGAGAUAGCAGAGAAUCAACCCAUUCUAUUCCAAAACAAGGGUGGUGAUCUAGUAAGGAUGGCCGAAGGUGGGCAAACAGCAGCGGGGCGGCUCAGCCGGGGCAGAGGUUACUCCAGUGAGCAAUUCCGCACAGGAAAAGGAUGAAUCCGUGACUGAUUAAGGCAAGGAGGGUUGUGCGAGGCUCGACGAGUUCAGGGGUCUAGGCACGUGCUAUGGCUGAAGAGCUAGUGACAGUGUGCCACGUUGAGGCGGAGCGGGCGCGCGGAGUUCAACUCCGAAGAGUGAUUUGACUACGGCAGGCACGAAAACAUAGGGAUGGUUUCAUACGGUGUCGGUGAGGCAAAGCUCGGAGUUCACUCCUCGUCCUCGACAACGGGGCGCGACUGCAACUUCGACAUGGCGACGACGAAUCUCAGCGGGCCUGUCAUGGUGGCAAUUACAGGUGACUGGACUCGAGGGAAUGGAGUAAGAACCAGGGCACGUCCUAAGUACACCAAGCCUGGGCGGAACUCACCGGCGCAAGAGGGACGAUGGGAGCACAACGACGGCGAUGGACGGACGUCGUCGGCUUGACAAGGGCGCUCCGGGGUGUGCGAGAGCAGGGAGAUGGCUGAGCAACUGCACGAAUGGGGAGCGGGAUGCGCACGGGGCUCCGGGUCUUCCUACUUGAAGGACGGAUG
Molecule: long non-coding RNA, 1778 nt
Filed under: Zea mays
Lineage: Eukaryota; Viridiplantae; Streptophyta; Magnoliopsida; Poales; Poaceae
Description: long non-coding RNA (ZMAY_LNC002982)
Source: RNAcentral